GACGUAGGGGGCGAGCGUUAUCCGGAUUCACUGGGCGUAAAGGGCGCGUAGGCGGCUACGGAAGUCCGGCGUGAAAUGUCGCGGCUCAACUGCGAAUCUGCGUCGGAUACUCCGUUGGCUCGAGGACGGUAGAGGUGAGUGGAACUAGCGGUGUAGCGGUGAAAUGCGCAGAUAUCGCUAGGAACGCCGGUGGCGAAGGCUGCUCACUGGGCCGAUCCUGACGCUGAGGCGCGAAAGCUAGGGGAGCGAACCGG
RNAcentral lists this unclassified non-coding RNA (254 nucleotides) under uncultured bacterium. RNAcentral describes it as "contains 16S-23S intergenic spacer region". It matches the Rfam family "Bacterial small subunit ribosomal RNA", at positions 524 to 776 of the family's 1533-position model. The record is from RNAcentral.